GUGCUCGCUUCAGCAGCACAUGUACUAAAGCUGGAACAAUACAGAGAACAUUAGCAUGACCCCUGUGCAAGGAUGACAGGCAAAUUCAUGAAGCGUUCCAUAACAAA
Small nuclear RNA from Lutra lutra (Eurasian river otter), 107 nucleotides. The record is from RefSeq and is a predicted model, not a curated record. Lineage: Eukaryota; Metazoa; Chordata; Mammalia; Carnivora; Mustelidae.